Molecule: transfer RNA, 78 nt
Filed under: Dictyoglomus thermophilum H-6-12
Lineage: Bacteria; Pseudomonadati; Dictyoglomota; Dictyoglomia; Dictyoglomales; Dictyoglomaceae
Description: tRNA-Ala
Rfam family: tRNA
About the family: Transfer RNA (tRNA) molecules are approximately 80 nucleotides in length. Their secondary structure includes four short double-helical elements and three loops (D, anti-codon, and T loops).
Source: RNAcentral
UGGGGCUGUAGCUCAGCUGGGAGAGCACCUGCUUUGCACGCAGGGGGUCACCGGUUCAAGUCCGGUCAGCUCCACCAU